This 927-nucleotide ribosomal RNA is filed under the name Isopoda sp. NZAC 03010576. RNAcentral's name for it is "partial 28S ribosomal RNA". It matches the Rfam family "Eukaryotic large subunit ribosomal RNA", at positions 564 to 848 of the family's 3401-position model. Lineage: Eukaryota; Metazoa; Arthropoda; Malacostraca; Isopoda. The record is from RNAcentral.
AUAAAGCGAGCGAGCGUUCGUGUCCGAAAGUGCUGGAUUCAGCCUGCCCCGGAGGCUGGCGGCGAGGGGUCGCAUAUCGCAAUUAACGGAUCUCCCGAGGGUUCCCGGAGCUUCUCCGGAUCUCGAGGGUUGACCGGCGUCUUCCCUCGUGCGCUCCGAAGGGGGAUGCUCUUCUGGCGUAAGUAGGUCACCGCGGCCGUUCAAGAGGUGUCGAAGACACGGGGGUCAGGGAAACCGCAUAUUCUCGGUCCGACGGAGCGUCAGCUUCCCGGUAUCGCGUUGUGCGGGGCCGCCUCGUUGAUCUGACGGCCUCUAGGACGGUGACAUCAAUCCAAAUGCGAGCCUGCGACGGGGUGGCGCCCUCUCCCUCCUCUCCUACGGAGAAGAGGCGAUGGCGCCCCCGCAUAAACGUUCCGCGCUCGACACGCGGUGCAGAGAAAUGCGACAGCUUACUCGUCCCGUCUUGAAACACGGACCAAGAAGUCUAGACUGUGCGCGAGUCAAAGGGCAUACUAAACCCCAAGGCGAAACGAAAGUGAAAUAUCUUUUCUCGAUGGGCUGAUCCGGUUCGGGGCGCGUGGAGGAGAGGGUUUAUCCCCUUUUCAACAACGCCUCGGUUCGUCUCCGAGCUAUACGAGGACGGCGCAAGCCCGGGGCCCGCAACGGUCCUCCCCGUCGCUAAUGCCAAGUCGCGUCGGUUCCUGGCGUUGUCCUACCUAAGUCCCUUACGCCUCUUAUAUCUUCAUUCACGCCGUUCGUUUCGGCGGGCGGUGUCGUUUGGAGGUAUCUAGACGGGGGCGUUCGUGGUUUUCUUAGGUGGCAAUAACAACGCUUUGGACGGCGAUUCGCAGACGCGGGACGAUCAGCGGGUCCUUUGAGCGCACAGUCUGGUACCCGAAAGAUGGUGAUCUAUGCCUGGCCAGGAUG